This is a non-coding RNA of Petromyzon marinus (sea lamprey), 5421 nucleotides long. Lineage: Eukaryota; Metazoa; Chordata; Hyperoartia; Petromyzontiformes; Petromyzontidae. The record is from RefSeq and is a predicted model, not a curated record.
AAGGCGUUCAGAUUCUGGGGUCUGGAGAGGUCUGACGUCCUGGGGGGUCUGGGGUGGGUCCACAGGAGGGUUCCGGGUGGUGAAAAUGGCUGAAGAAUUACACUGCAUACACAACACACGUUACAGUAACACCUUACUGAUAAAAUAUUUUUCUCGAAAUAUCUCCAGAACCCUACAUUCUACAUACUCGAGUCAUGUACCAUUCUACUCGUCUGCUAUAGGGAACAUUUUAUAUACUGUACCAUGUUGCCUUUUGAGGCAUCUGACUUGCAAACCUUGAAAGUCUCAAUUCCAUUGCAGGGAGUCUCAAAACCAUACUCAGGAGUCCUAAUUCCAAAUCAGGAGUAAAUUCCACAUCCUGGAUUCCGAAUUCCUAUGCCAUGGAAUUGAGACUUGACCGUCACGAACAUGUCUUUGUUGCCGGACCGGAAUAUGCUGCAGGGUCCCGCAGUGAUUCGUCCGCUAUAUGAGUUGGUCCUGUGGGCGGCACAGGAGCAUGUGUGGUGCCACGACUGCGGAGCAACUUCGCAAGCGCCGCGAUUCCCUCCCGGCCCCCGCACUAAACACACACCCGCAUGCAGCGCACCCACGUAGUGUCCUGGCGGGGGAUUGCCUGGCACAUCGGGUCUUGAUCUGAAGGGCCCGAAGAGGAAGAAUCCCACGGUUUCCGGAUGCCAGGAGAUUGGCCGACCCUCGCAGGACGGGUUACAUUGCGAUGCCCCUAAAAUUGGCUUAAAAUUGUAUUGGCACAGAUAAGGUUCCCUGGGCCAACCGCAAUGAGUUACAACAUUGGGGGGAGGACGGAGGGCGGAAUACUAACCAAGCAAAAGCGCAAGGGCCCUUCCAGACAAUGGGCAACGAGGGACAAUGGGUGGCCGGCGCCGCCGCCGCGGCACUGGAGGAAGGACGCAGUAACAGGCAGUAACCACAGGUAGACGCACGAUUGGUCGUGCGGGACAAACGCCAUCCUGGCCCUUUGAAGUGAGGGGAUUAGGCCACGGUAGAAAGGAGGAAACAAGCGCGAGGGUGCAGGUAAGUGCACGAUUGGCUGCGCGGUAUGACAUCACCCUGGGCCUUUGAAGUUAAGAGAAUAAAAAGGGGGGCCCCGGGUGAUUUUCGGUCUCUUGGCUUCGACCUCCGGGUGGUGAAGACCCUCUCCCUGCCAUCCUGCCUCUUCGAGCCGCUCACAGCAUCCGUGUGAUGCCAGCAUGUGCUGCUGCGAGACAGUGACAGGUCAAGUCGUCCCUCAUCCUCCCUCCGACUCUCAGUGUCCGUGGGACGCCGCGAGUCCAGCUUCGAGGUCGCUAGGUGCAUCCAAGCCCAGCAAAUUCUGCAGUGGGACAGGGCGCUGGUUAGGUGUGCCAUGUCCCGUAUGGAGCCGGAGCCGUCAGAUUGAGCGGAGCCCCUGUCGGCAUGCGCGUCGACCCGGGGUGGUGACGGCCGGGGUGACGGGGACGCACGACGGACGGACGAGCAGCGGCGGCCAAGAUCGUCGUCUCGUUCCCGGGGCGGCCGUGUUACCUGCUACAAUUGCGGCCUGCCAGGGCACGUGUCAUUGGGCUGCCGCGUAUCACGACGGCGCCACCCGGCAUCACCGCCAUCCUACGCUCCCAUGCACCCUAAGGCGAGUCGCGACACACUCCACACCCGACCCCUGGCCUCACCUCAUCCAUCUAGGCGGUUCGGUUCGCGUCCCGGUCGCACGGGGGUGAGGGGGAGCCCUACGCGUAAUUGUAGCGUUCGUCAGUUCUGACCGGAUCAGUGGUCGGAGCUGGCCCAUCGAGUGGUGGUCGCAGCCGCGGGUUCAUCUGCCGUGCUGGGGUUUAUCAAGGGUGUGGAAAUAAGGAUGCUGGUUGACACGGGUGCAUCGGCAACUAUCAUUUCGGAAUUGAUUUACAAUAUUUUGCCCUCUAAAUGUCGGGUUCUAGACCCUGUUGAUGCACCGUGUUUCGCCGCCAAUGAAUGGCGACUCAUUGGGCAUUAUCGGUUGGAUAACGGUCGAGGUGCGCAUCGCUGACGUUAAAUUGUCUGGACACAUCCUGGUCUCCACAUCCUUGGCUGUUCCAUGUUUGCUUGGAACCGAUUUCCUUGAUAGGAUGCCCGUGAAAAUCUGCAUUGAUCGUGGCUGUUGGGAAUUACCUUCCGGCCAUUGUAUAGCAUUUUUACCUUCUCCCACUCAUUUGUGUGCGGCCAACGCUACGGUGCAGGCGCUUGUGCGGCGAACGGUGAGCAUCCCUCCCGGCGCGCAGAUGUUGGUUCCCUUCCGCUUGCGGAAGCCGCUCGAUUUAGGGGCUACGGAGAACGGUAUUGUCUUGGGGCCAUCCAACAAGGUCAGUCGCGGGCUGACGUUGGUGGCAGCCCAAAUGUUGGUAUCCAACGACCAGGAACCCUUUAUUCAGGUUCUUAAUGCUGGGUGGGAUACCACGGUCAUCCAGGAGGGUACGGUGUUGGCUCAUGCGUCGCCGGCACGUCCGGAUGGGGGCAUCGUCGGAAAUGUGGGUGCUGAGCCUCACGCACUACAAUCCUGUGAUGAAGAUGACAGUUGGAUUGACAAAUUGUGCGCUGAAUGUGAUACCUUGUCCGCGGAUCAGAUGGGGAAGUUGCAGAUGCUCUUGAGUGAAUUUUCGGAUAUUUUCAGCAAAGGUAAAUUCGAUAUUGGGUGCACGUCGCUUCUGAGUCACCACAUUGAUACGGGCGACGCGGCCUCUAUCUGACAGAAUCCCUACCGGCUGAGCCCGGCAGAGAAGGAACAUGUUCGACUGGCGGUUGAUGAGAUGUUGGCCGCAGACAUCAUCUCACCAUCCACCAGUCCCUGGGGAGCUCCGAUUGUGCUUGUGAAAAAGCACGACGGUAGCUUAAGAUUUUGCGUCGACUUUAGGAAGCUUAAUAAGGUCUCUGUUGCGGAUGCGUAUCCCAAAUCGCAUGGACGAUUCACUGGAUUGGUUGGCGGGGGCACGCUUCUUCCCCACCCUUGAUCUCUAAUCUGGGUUCUGGCAGUUGCUGCUUGACGAUGUCUUGAGACCUAAGACGGCCUUUUGCAAGCUCCAGGGAUUGUUCUAAUUUAACCGGCUUCCCAUGGGGCUCCAUUCCACGCCGGCCACAUUCCAACGGUGAUGGCAUUGGUCCUGGCGGGUCUCCAAUGGGACUCGUAUCUAAUAUACCUCGCCGAUGUGAUCGUCUUCAGCCACACUUUUUAUGACCAUUUGAGUCGUUUGCUUGCUUUCUCAAAUGCGUGCGGCUAACCUUAAAUUCAAGCCUCAGAAAUGUCAUCUUCUCUGGAAGUCGGUCCGAUAUCUUGGCCGCAUUGUUGACGAAGCGGGUAUUGCGACCAACCCGGAAAAACUGCGUGUGUUCGUACCUGGCCCACCCCCACCUCAGUGACUGAGGUGCACAGUUUUAUCGGCUUUGCAUCUUACUAUUGCCGCUUUGUCGCCGGGUUCGCGUCAAUUGCAAAACCUCUCCAUGCGUUAACGGCUAAGGGUCAUACGUUUCAUUGGGGAGAGGAGGAGGCUGCAUUUAAUGCCAUCCGCGAGGGGUUGGUGAACACCUCUCCCCUGCGCUAUCCGGAUUUUGCAUUGCCGUUCGUCCUCAAUACGGACGCUAGCAAUACCGGCAUUGGUGCCAUUUUGUCGCAGGUUGUUGACGGGGUGGAGAGGGUUGUUGCGUACAGCAGUAGAGUGCUGUGUCAAGCCGAACAGGAUUACUGCGUUAGGCGCCGUGAAUUGCUAGCAAUUGUGGUUUUCGUGCAGCAGUAUCGGCCCUACUUGUAUGGUAGACGAUUUGAGGUGUGCUCCGAUCAUGCAGCGCUCCAAUAUGCGCUGCGUGUGGAUCAGCUGUCAGGCCAGUUAUCACGCUGGCUGGAGAUCCUGCAGGAUUUCUCAUUCCAUGUUACGUACCGCAAGGGUUAUCGUCAUGCGAACACCGAUGCCCUACCGCGGUUGCCAGCGACCGGAGGUUGUGAAUGUUUUUCGGGUUCCGGGUGAUGUAAACCAACUGAUAUGACCUCGCCCCCUCCUCUCGCCGCAUCUGCCGAUGCACGGACAGGUAGCACGGGUGCCAGUCCGGACGCACGGGAUGCAGUCAUCGGAUUACGUGGAAUGGGGACGCCUUCAGGUGAAGACGCUUCGCUACUUAAAUUGCGACGUCGUGUGAGAGAAGCUAACAGGGACAAUGAUCGAUGGGGCGUUGCCUCGGUAGUCCUAUGGAGCAGCUUGCUCAUGUAUUGGAAAGGGGGGCCUCGCCGUUACACUAUAGUUGUCCCCACCGCCCUGCGAGGCGAGGUUGUUUGGGCUGUGCAUGAGCGGCUCUUGCACCUGGGUGUGCAGAAAACGCUGACCACGCUGAAACGGGAUUUCUAUUGGCUGUCCAUGUCCGCGGACGUGGACGAUUUGCUCAGGGGGUGCGUGCAGUGUACCCGGGGGAAACCACCGUCGAAACCCUGCCGACUCCCCUUGCAGUCGAUUCAGGUAUCACGUGUCAAUGAACUUGUUGCUAUGGGCAUACUUGGCCCAUUUCCCACUACUGCUCGGGGGAACAAAUACCUGCUUUUGGAGGUUGAGUAUUUUUCUCGAUGGCCUGUCGCUUGGCCCUAAUCAAUCAGCUGUGACCAUUACAGAGGCAUUCCUCAAUGGCUAUGUUAUGGACAAAGGUGCUCCGGAACGCCUUUUGACCGAUCACGGCAAUAAUUUUUCUUCUAAAUUGUUGAUGUCUGCGCUUUAUUGGGUACAAGGAAGGUGUGCACGUCGCCAUACCACCCACAGACGGAUGGCAUGGUCGAACGGCUACAUAGGAUUCUGACCUCAAUGCUGAGCCACCAGGUGCCGCACGACUGACGUCCCCUGCACGGCCGCGCAUGCCGGCAUCGCAGGUCCCAAGUGCGGAGGAUCCGUCGACCCGGCCUACUGCUCUCCGUGAGGAGCCGGGUUCGGCGGAACAUUUGCACAUUCCCCCCGGAUCCUCCAGGGUGAGCGAGCCCAUCACGAACUCGCUCAAAGACUCGGUAUUCGUGAUCUCCUUGCACACACGCUCCCACGCUAUCGGUUGCUUGUCGCGUUCGCUGACUCGUGGCAGUCAUUGGCUGAGCCUGGCCGCCAUCAAGCUCGCAAGCGUUGUUACAUGGCGAAGGUGGGAGGUGUGAUGGUAUUGGGGGAUCCUGUGGUUUUCGCGUUUCCUUAUUUUAUUGUUGCUGUGUUGUUAUGGGUUCAUUGGUUUCCACCCUUCUCCCUGUUGGUUUGUACAUUUGUGUAGUGACUGUACUUGUCACUGUGUGGUGCCGGGACUUGCGAAGUCACUGCCGGUAAUGUGGUCAUUGUGGACAGCCCGGUUUGCGAGCUGCAGUACCAGCACUAGCGGUGGUUGGGUGAGCGCUGGUUAGUGCGGAGGCACCACGAGCAGUGUGCGGUGCCGGCUCCCAGUGAGGGA